Small nucleolar RNA from Morone saxatilis (striped sea-bass), 66 nucleotides. RefSeq annotates it as small nucleolar RNA SNORD58. Lineage: Eukaryota; Metazoa; Chordata; Actinopteri; Moronidae. The record is from RefSeq and is a predicted model, not a curated record. The transcript has a single exon.
CUGCCAUGAUGACUACUUAGGACACCUUUGGAUCAAAGAUGAAAAUAAUCUCUUAAUCUGAGCAGU